This 478-nucleotide ribosomal RNA is filed under the name uncultured bacterium. RNAcentral's name for it is "partial 16S ribosomal RNA". It matches the Rfam family "Bacterial small subunit ribosomal RNA", at positions 28 to 523 of the family's 1533-position model. The record is from RNAcentral.
GACGAACGCUGGCGGCGUGCUUAACACAUGCAAGUCGAACGGUAAGGCCCUUCGGGGUACACGAGUGGCGAACGGGUGAGUAACACGUGGGUGAUCUGCCCUGCACUUCGGGAUAAGCCUGGGAAACUGGGUCUAAUACCGGAUAGGACCACUGCCUGCAUGGGUGGUGGUGGAAAGCUUUUGCGGUGUGGGAUGGGCCCGCGGCCUAUCAGCUUGUUGGUGGGGUGAUGGCCUACCAAGGCGACGACGGGUAGCCGGCCUGAGAGGGUGACCGGUCAGACGGGGGCGGGGGUACGGGCCAGCCUGCUGGGGGAGGCAGCAGGGGGGACUCUUGCUCUAGGGGCGCAAGCCUGAGGCAGCGACGCCGCAUGAGGGAUGCCGGGCCUCGGGUUGGAAGCCGCUUUCAGCACCGACGUUGCGCAAGUGGCGGUAGGUCCAGCAGAAGGACUUGCUAACUACCUGCCAGCCGCCGCGGUAA